GUCAUCCAACAGAGGUAGCAAUAGCAGAAUU
This 31-nucleotide non-coding RNA is filed under the name Rattus norvegicus (Norway rat). Lineage: Eukaryota; Metazoa; Chordata; Mammalia; Rodentia; Muridae. The record is from RNAcentral.